GGGGUCGUAGCUCAAUUGGCAGAGCGUCCGCCUCCAGAGCGGAAGGUUGCAAGUUCAAGUCCUGCCGGCCCCA
RNAcentral lists this transfer RNA (73 nucleotides) under Candidatus Nanohaloarchaea archaeon. Its description in RNAcentral is "Nanohaloarchaea archaeon tRNA-Trp". It matches the Rfam family "tRNA". Rfam says of the family: Transfer RNA (tRNA) molecules are approximately 80 nucleotides in length. Their secondary structure includes four short double-helical elements and three loops (D, anti-codon, and T loops). The record is from RNAcentral. Lineage: Archaea; Methanobacteriati; Methanobacteriota; Candidatus Nanohaloarchaea. RNAcentral also lists the same sequence under 1 other name.